UACGUAGGGAGCAAGCGUUGUUCGGAUUUACUGGGCGUAACGGGCGCGUAGGCGGCGCGGUAAGUCACUUGUGAAAUCUCUGAGCUUAACUCAGAACGGCCAAGUGAUACUGCAGUGCUAGAGUGCAGAAAGGGCAAUCGGAAUUCUUGGUGUAGCGGUGAAAUGCGUAGAUAUCAAGAGGAACACCUGAGGCGAAGGCGGGUUGCUAGGCUGACACUGACGCUGAGUGCGCGAAAGCCAGGGGAGCAAACGGG
This 254-nucleotide ribosomal RNA is filed under the name uncultured bacterium. RNAcentral describes it as "partial 16S ribosomal RNA". It matches the Rfam family "Bacterial small subunit ribosomal RNA", at positions 524 to 776 of the family's 1533-position model. The record is from RNAcentral.